CGUGGGAGCGAGCUUGCUCGCGAUAGCGUCGGAUCAGCUUGCAUCGAUGUUGAAUGCCAGGCCGUCAUCGCGAGCAAGCUCGCUCCCACA
Molecule: unclassified non-coding RNA, 90 nt
Filed under: Pseudomonas sp. NFACC13-1
Lineage: Bacteria; Pseudomonadati; Pseudomonadota; Gammaproteobacteria; Pseudomonadales; Pseudomonadaceae
Source: RNAcentral